RNAcentral lists this ribosomal RNA (301 nucleotides) under uncultured bacterium. RNAcentral describes it as "partial 16S ribosomal RNA". It matches the Rfam family "Bacterial small subunit ribosomal RNA", at positions 509 to 807 of the family's 1533-position model. The record is from RNAcentral.
CAGUCGCCGCGGGAAUACGUAGGGUGCAAGCGUUAAUCGGAAUUACUGGGCGUAAAGCGUGCGCAGGCGGUUCGCUAAGACAGAUGUGAAAUCCCCGGGCUUAACCUGGGAACUGCAUUUGUGACUGGCGGGCUAGAGUGUGUCAGAGGGGGGUAGAAUUCCACGUGUAGCAGUGAAAUGCGUAGAUAUGUGGAGGAAUACCGAUGGCGAAGGCAGCCCCCUGGGAUAACACUGACGCUCAUGCACGAAAGCGUGGGGAGCAAACAGGAUUAGAGACCCCCGUAGUCCCUGUCUCUUAUAC